AAGGAUCUCCAGAGAGGUCACGGGAGGUCAUGAAAGUAACAUCAGUUCCUAGGAAGAGAAAGUGGAGUGAGGUGGAGAUUGCGGCUGUAGAAGAGACAAUGAUGAAAUGUAUUCACUCGGGAGUUACUCCUGGAAAAGUCGACUACAUUGCAUGCAUUACAGCAGCCCCCAAAGCCCUCGGUGAACGAGACUGGCAGGCGGUGAAGUAUUAUAUAAAAAACAGAAUCACAGCAUAUGAGAGAAAGACCACUAAAAAGUAAGGUUGAUUUUGGUUGUUGAUUCCGUUUUUGCGUUUUAGUUGAAUUAUAAUUUUUUUUUUGGUCUCAAUACUAGGGCUGCACGAUAUUGGGGAAAAAGGACAUUGCGAUAUCUUAUUUUUCUGCGAUAUAUAUUGCGAUAUGAUAUCUAAUCUAAUUUUUUCUUACAAACAAACAUGGCAUGAGCACACAUACAUUCUCAUUUUAAAUGAUUUAAACAUCAGAGUAUUGUUUAAAUUAGAGUAAAUUAUUUGUUUGUAACUUUAGGAUAUGGUUUGAAUUGUUAACAUUUAACUAACAUGAACUUACCAUGAGCAAUACUUGUGUUACUAUAUUUUUUAAUCUUUGUUUAUCUUCGUUAUCUUAAAAACACAGCUGUUCAUUGUUUGGUAAUGUUACUUCACAGUAGGGAUGCACCGGUUGACCGGCCAUUAAUCGGAACCGGCCGGUUUUUGCUUAAAAUACGCAAUCGCCCGUUUUUGGUGUUUUUCCGGCCGAUUUUUCCGGAAGUGAGCUCGCGUGCACAGACUACAUUGUAAUCGUUUGCUAUGUAAUUUGUGUGGAAGAGUAUUUCGAAAUCUGUGCGCAGGACACAGGCAGUCGAUCAGUACCGGAAAUGCAGAGCUUCAUGUCUGAGGCACAGAUGGCAGGAAGUGAACAGCCGCUGUUGUACUGGCGCACAAAUAAGAGCCUUUCCUGCACACUGAAGCUGCCCGAGCGUAUACUGUACCGGUCCGCGCCCUGAACACGAGUAGACCGUGAAGAGAUGUUCAGCUCAACUUCUCACGUGUUGGAUGAGAAACGAAACGGACUAAACUGUGACAAAACAGAAUUAUUUUUUAUUUAUUUAUUUUACUUUUUAUUAUUAUUAUUAGAACUUGCAUUCAUGUUUGAAAAGCCAGAAAUAAACUUCAGUUCUGAAUUAGGAUGAUUAUUUUUAUUUUACCCUAAAAUAGACUUAAUUUAAUUUAAAAAUCAUCUGCUGUAGCACACUGAAAAAAAGUAUUUCAUCUAAUUAAAAUAUUUUAGGGUAAUGAUUCACAUCUAUAUUUUUUUUACUUGAGUCAACAAGUUAUUUAUUUUUCAUUGGCUCAAGUAAAAAAAAUAUAGAUGUGAAUCAUUAUCCUAUUUAUUUAUUUUUUAUUAUUAUUGGAUGAAUGAAACCCUUUGCAUCUUUGUUUUAUUCGCACAAACAUUAUUUGAUUUUAACAUUUUGGAAAAUGUAUUUAUAUAGCAUACUUUUAUUUAGUCUCACUGGUAAAGACCUUUUUUUUUUAACUUAAAACCAAAUUUAAAAACUAAAAUACUGAAUGCUGAUCAAGAAACCUCUUUUUGAAUGUGUGUUGAUUGUGUUGUGUGGACUGUAGAACUAUGCAGUUGUUACCUUUAAUUUCACAUGGUUACAGUUAAUCUUUUAUUUAAGGCCAGUUCUCUGUAGUUUCAACCCAAUUAAAAAACAAAAGCUAAAUGCUGAUGUCUGUACCAUCUGUGUUUGUAUUGAAUGUAGGCUACUUAUUGUACAGUAACUGCCUUUAAUUUCAGAUGGUUACAGUUAUUGUUUUCAAUAGCCAAAAGCAAGUGUAAUUAUCUCUGCAGUUUAGGAUAUCGCACAAGAUUUGACAACACAGAACACGUCAUCACAGAAUUAUAAUUUUUUUUUCCGACAUCGUUUUUUGAUUUUGAUAAAUUUGCGCGAGGGAGAGAGCAAGACAGCGCUUGUGUUGUUUGAAGACGGUGAAGGUGGGCGUGAGCGCGUGGCUGGGCCCUCUCUCUCUCUCUCUCUCUCUCUCUCUCUCGUGCUCUUUCUCUCUCUCUGCUCGUUCUUAUGCGCUCUGUUAAACUGCUAGGACUUAAACUGUGCAAUUAAUCCGCGAAUCAAAUUCGGCUAGGGCCGGGGAGCAGCUGCCCGUACAGUUAAUGAAUAACGGAUCAACUACGACAGCCUACAUCGCACAUCCUGCAAUGUGACAAUCGUGGAUUCGUACAUCGCGAUAUCGAUGCUUAAACGACACAUCGUGCAGCCCUACUCAAUACCGUAGUUGAAACAUUAUAAUGUAACUUAAGUUUUGAAAGAGUUAAAACGGCUUGAUGUUGGUUGUAAAUUUGGUGCCUGGACUUCCUUGUUUUUAAUGCUGUGUCAAGUGAUAAGGAGUUGGUGUAAAUGUUUUUUCUAAUUGCGUAGAUUAGUUUUACUGUACAGUAGCCAUACGACAGAGUGAGUGUCUAUAGUAUUCAAUGCCUUUAUUCAGGCCCCUUUACGUUUCACAUUUUAAUUGUAAAUUGAUUAAUUUAUUUUCUGAUGGCACAUUAGACGAAACGCAUCAUAAAAACUAUAUGUUGUAAUAUCUGAUGGCAAGCACUGAACCCAUACUGUACUGAUUAAAUUUGGCUGUAGAUUCAA
Long non-coding RNA from Carassius gibelio (silver crucian carp), 2658 nucleotides. RefSeq lists it as uncharacterized. The record is from RefSeq and is a predicted model, not a curated record. The transcript is spliced from 2 exons. Lineage: Eukaryota; Metazoa; Chordata; Actinopteri; Cypriniformes; Cyprinidae.